AUUUUAUUUGAUGGUGCAUUAUUCUAGUAAUGCUUUCUAUUAUGAGGGUGGGGCUAAAAAUCCACUAAAGGGCACAUCGUUGAAGUUCCUUGUUUGUGCGCGAAAUGCCAGUUUUGUGUGCUUUCAGGGAGUAAGGUUUUAGGGUACUAUGUAACGGCAUACAUACUUUGCCCUACUACCGCGGAGGCUUAAAUAGAUUUACUAAUUUUAAGUAUAACCUAUGAGCUUAAGGGAACACCUUAAGGUAAUAGCGUAGCCUGUCUUGAGUGAUAGUAUUGGGAUUAUUUUUAUAUGAAAUUACUGUUGCAAAAAAGACUAGUCUUAGAAAUGUAUUUCAAGGAAAACUUCUAGAAUGUUUGUUUCAAUCGAGAAGCAUAGAAUUAUAGGGAUUAAGGUACGGACUUAAGUGGCAAUCUGGCAUUCCUAUUUAGGAAUAUUCGCUUUAAAAGGAAACUACUCGGCAGUAAUGCAAAGUAGCGGAUAAAGAAAUUAGGCUAGACCUCAAACCGUAAAAUUUACUUAUAAUUUUACCAUCUUAAAUUUUA
This 545-nucleotide small RNA is filed under the name human gut metagenome. The record is from RNAcentral.